Molecule: long non-coding RNA, 1761 nt
Organism: Micropterus dolomieu (smallmouth bass)
Lineage: Eukaryota; Metazoa; Chordata; Actinopteri; Centrarchiformes; Centrarchidae
Exons: 2
Source: RefSeq, a predicted model, not a curated record
CUUCAGUCCUACUUUGAGGCUGCCUGCCUGAGGUCUACCAGCUCCGCUUCAGUCCUACUUUGAGGCUGCCUGCCUGAGGUCUCCAGCUUCAGUCCUACUUUGAGGCUGCCUGCCUGAGGUCUCCAGCUUCAGUCCUACUUUGAGGCCGCCUGCCUGAGGUCUACCAGCUCCGCUUCAGUCCUACUUUGAGGCCACCUGCCUGAGGUCUCCAGCUUCAGUCCUACUUUGAGGCUGCCUGCCUGAGGUCUCCAGCUUCGGACUUACUUUGAGGCUGCCUGCCUGAGGUCUACCAGCUCCGCUUCAGUCCUACUUUGAGGCCGCCUGCCUGAGGUCUACCAGCUCCGCUUCAGUCCUACUUUGAGGCCGCCUGCCUGAGGUCUCCAGCUUCAGUCCUACUUUGAGGCCGCCUGCCUGAGGUCUCCAGCUUCAGUCCUACUUUGAGGCCGCCUGCCUGAGGUCUCCAGCUUCUGUCCUACUUUGAGGCCGCCUGCCUGAGGUCUACCAGCUCCGCUUCAGUCCUACUUUGAGGCCACCUGCCUGAGGUCUCCAGCUUCGGACUUACUUUGAGGCCGCCUGCCUGAGGUCUACCAGCUCCGCUUCAGUCCUACUUUGAGGCUGCCUGCCUGAGGUCUCCAGCUUCAGUCCUACUUUGAGGCCGCCUGCCUGAGGUCUACCAGCUCCGCUUCAGUCCUACUUUGAGGCCGCCUGCCUGAGGUCUACCAGCUCCGCUUCAGUCCUACUUCCAUUAGCUCAGGAGUUUAUUUUCUACAUACCUUCAUCAGGUGCAGUGAAGCAGAUGUUUAUGCAUAUGUUGAGUUUACAGAAUGAAGAUCAGUUAAUGCGGGUUUAAAUCUUAGAUACAGGAUUUCUUCCAGAAACAGCAGCUGAUUUAGACUGAAACAUAAGUUGCCUGACAGUAUUAGACAUUAGAUUGUUUAGUUUGAGUUGAUCUAAAUCACAGGUGACAGGUGGAGGAGCUGCUGGAAAGAAAAGAAAAAGAACUCUGAGGCGUUCACUGUCACCUACAGUUCACUGCAGCUGAAGCAUCUAACUGGAGUUUCCAUGAACUCACACUGACAGUAAUUCACACGUCUGCAGGCUGAAGGCGUCGAGCUGAACUCACAGCUGCUGUCAUGUGACCAACUGUGUGAAAAUAAAACUCAAGCUGCUGAGCUAACCCUAAAACCUGCUGAAACUGUGUGUAUCUCAGACUCCAGAUCUAGAAUAUGAUUCCUGUUACUGUUUUAUGUCCCAAUGAUGUGACUUACAGUUCCUUAUGGACUACAGAACACUGGGAACACAUUUCAAAAGUAUUUAAUGCUUCACUGAAAUUAUAUCAAACAAAUAUGAAAAAUGCAUUAGAGAAUCAGUCUGAUGAUGUUUACAUGGUUUAUUUACAGCUGUACAGCAGAAAACUCUAGAGACACUUUGAGUGUCCAGCAGAGGGCAGCACAGGGAUUCAGGAGGGUGUAGGAGAACAGAUUUCAGAUAAAUCAGAGACUAUAAGGGUAUCUGAGAGAAUGAGGGGCAUCACAAGGUAUUACAGGGUACAGGAGGGGUUUCAUAAGGUAACAGGGAUAUCAGAGGGUAUCGGAUGGGAUUACAAAGUAAAAUGAUCAUCUUGUUGAGAGUGCUGCAGGCUCACUGUGAAUGACACUUGACUCUGUUGCCCCUUUACAGAUGAUAAUAAAACAAGGAACGGUUAGCUCCGUGGUAUAAGCCCCUGUCACGGUCUGACUAUUUCUGCUUUGUGUUUUCUGA